AUUGAACGCUGGCGGCAUGCCUUACACAUGCAAGUCGAACGGCAGCACGGGUGCUUGCACCUGGUGGCGAGUGGCGAACGGGUGAGUAAUACAUCGGAACAUGUCCUGUAGUGGGGGAUAGCCCGGCGAAAGCCGGAUUAAUACCGCAUACGAUCUACGGAUGAAAGCGGGGGACCUUCUGGCCUCGCGCUAUAGGGUUGGCCGAUGGCUGAUUAGCUAGUUGGUGGGGUAAAGGCCUACCAAGGCGACGAUCAGUAGCUGGUCUGAGAGGACGACCAGCCACACUGGGACUGAGACACGGCCCAGACUCCUACGGGAGGCAGCAGUGGGGAAUUUUGGACAAUGGGCGAAAGCCUGAUCCAGCAAUGCCGCGUGUGUGAAGAAGGCCUUCGGGUUGUAAAGCACUUUUGUCCGGAAAGAAAUACUUGGCCCUAAUACGGUCGGGGGAUGACGGUACCGGAAGAAUAAGCACCGGCUAACUACGUG
This 486-nucleotide ribosomal RNA is filed under the name uncultured bacterium. RNAcentral describes it as "partial 16S ribosomal RNA". It matches the Rfam family "Bacterial small subunit ribosomal RNA", at positions 30 to 507 of the family's 1533-position model. The record is from RNAcentral.